GAGCUAUUUUUCGUUAAGCCGCUAACUUAAUUAAUAACAUAUAAGAAUGUUAAUAACUCU
Molecule: transfer RNA, 60 nt
Filed under: Tropostreptus severus
Lineage: Eukaryota; Metazoa; Arthropoda; Diplopoda; Spirostreptida; Spirostreptidae
Description: tRNA-Ser
Source: RNAcentral